RNAcentral lists this ribosomal RNA (735 nucleotides) under uncultured Acidobacteriota bacterium. RNAcentral describes it as "bacterial SSU rRNA". It matches the Rfam family "Bacterial small subunit ribosomal RNA", at positions 62 to 803 of the family's 1533-position model. The record is from RNAcentral. Lineage: Bacteria; Pseudomonadati; Acidobacteriota.
UCGAGCGGGCACCUUCGGGUGUCAGCGGCAGACGGGUGAGUAACGCGUGGGAACGUACCCUUCAGUUCGGAAUAACCCAGGGAAACUUGGGCUAAUACCGGAUACGUCCUGCCCCUUAAACAAGGGUGGGAGAAAGGUUUACUGCUGAAGGAUCGGCCCGCGUCGGAUUAGCUAGUUGGUAAGGUAAUGGCUUACCAAGGCAACGAUCUGUAACCGGCCUGAGAGGGCGGUCGGUCACACUGACACUGACAUACGGGUCAGACUCCUACGGGAGGCAGCAGUCGGGAAUUUUGGGCAAUGGGCGAAAGCCUGACCCAGCAACGCCGCGUGAAGGAUGAAAUUUUUCGGAAUGUAAACUUCGCAAGAACGGGAAGAAUAAGCAGAAGCGAAUACCUUCUAUGAUGACGGUACCGUUUGUAAGCUCCGGCUAACUCCGUGCCAGCAGCCGCGGUAAUACGGGGGGAGCAAGCGUUGUUCGGAUUUACUGGGCGUAAAGGGCGCGUAGGCGGUCGUGACAAGUCACUUGUGAAAUCUCCGGGCUUAACUCGGAAAGGUCAAGUGAUACUGUCGGACUAGAGUACAGAAGGGGCAACUGGAAUUCUCGGUGUAGCGGUGAAAUGCGUAGAUAUCGAGAGGAACACCUGCGGCGAAGGCGGGUUGCUGGGCUGAUACUGACGCUGAGGCGCGAAAGCUAGGGGAGCGAACGGGAUUAGAUACCCCGGUAGUCCUAGCCUU